CUUCCUCUCGCUCCCUCUCUCCCUCCAUGUAUCUCAAUAUCCUUCCCUAUUCAACCCAAAUUUGUCGAUAUUGCAUGGCAUCAUUAUCAUCUUCUAGUAGUUCAAGAUGGUUUCAUAGGAGAAGACGAUAUAUGAAGAAGAGGAUGUGCCAUUAAUAGUGUGCUAUUGCAACAUUCAUGCUAAAAUCUAUAUAUCAUGAAAAGAAUCCAACCUAGGCAGGAGGUUUUCUGAAUGCACCAAUUGCAAGGUAUGGAAAUAUUGAAAUUAAUUGUUGUUUCAUUAUUAAUGCAAGUGCUAUUAAAAGUUGGAGUUUGGUUUUCAUUUGUUAGGAUGGAACCCUAAAAGAAAUGAGAUGGGAAGUAGGGAAGAGAGAAAGAAGAGAGAAAGAGACAUUGAUAGGGAGAGAUGAUUCUCGAUUAUUCUCAGAUGAUUCUCAAGAGUACAACUAAACAAUAUUUAUACAAUAGGUAAGCAUUUCUAACUAAUUCAAUAGUCUCUAGCUACCCUUUAUCGCCAAUUUACCAUACUUAAUUUGGUAACUGUUCUAUUCCUCUCUUUUUUUUAAUAUACAUUUUUUUC
This 579-nucleotide long non-coding RNA is filed under the name Manihot esculenta (cassava). Its description in RNAcentral is "long non-coding RNA (MESC_LNC001580)". Lineage: Eukaryota; Viridiplantae; Streptophyta; Magnoliopsida; Malpighiales; Euphorbiaceae. The record is from RNAcentral.